CACAAAAAAUGUUCUUUUACAUUUUAAACCACAUUGUGAACCCAAAAACCUAUACUGCUUCGGUAGCAGGCCCGUUCCGUUUUUUCGGUUUCGGUGCUGUCAGCCUGCCGGUAGCACCCCCCAAUUAAACUUGUUUUCGUAAAUUAGUCUGAACAGAAUCAUUUUCGAAUGAAAAUUA
RNAcentral lists this unclassified non-coding RNA (178 nucleotides) under uncultured Ascomycota. Its description in RNAcentral is "sequence contains ITS1". The record is from RNAcentral. Lineage: Eukaryota; Fungi; Ascomycota.